CGUGAUAGCUCAGUCGGUAGGGCGUUAGGCUGCUAAUCCAAAGGUCGCGGGUUCGAGCCCUC
Molecule: transfer RNA, 62 nt
Filed under: Chattonella subsalsa
Lineage: Eukaryota; Raphidophyceae; Chattonellales; Chattonellaceae
Rfam family: tRNA
About the family: Transfer RNA (tRNA) molecules are approximately 80 nucleotides in length.
Source: RNAcentral